CUACGGGUCGCAGCAGUGGGGAAUUUUGGGCAAUGGGCGAAAGCCUGACCCAGCAACGCCGCGUGGAGGAUGAAGGUUUUCGGAUCGUAAACUCCUGUCCCAUGAGACGAAGCGAGUGACGGUAUCAUGGGAGGAAGCCCCGGCUAACUCCGUGCCAGCAGCCGCGGUAAUACGGGGGGGGCGAGCGUUGUUCGGAAUUACUGGGCGUAAAGGGCGCGUAGGCGGUUUCGGAAGUCAAGGGUGAAAGCCCCGAGCUCAACUCGGGAAUUGCCUUUGAAACCACGGAACUAGAGGGUGGGAGAUGAAAGCGGAAUUUCCAGUGAAGCGGUGAAAUGCGUAGAUAUUGGAAGGAACAUCUGAGGCGAAGGCGGCUUUCUGGACAGACACUGACGCUGAGGCGCGAAAGCCAGGGGAGCGAACGGGAUUAGAUACCCCCGUAGUC
Molecule: ribosomal RNA, 442 nt
Filed under: uncultured bacterium
Lineage: Bacteria
Description: partial 16S ribosomal RNA
Rfam family: Bacterial small subunit ribosomal RNA
Source: RNAcentral